AUUGCUAGUUCUUUGCCAUCGUGGGCUUGAGACCUUAUCUGCCCUGAAGAGAAUCACCCUGAAGGUCUGUAUCAGGCACCAGGACCCUCAUAGUCUUUUAGGCUCAGCUCAGGCCUUGAGUUACAUUUUUUUAUAGCACUUAAUGAUUUUUCUUUAUUGCUUUCGAGCUCUGCUGUGUACUAAAUUCUUCUUGUUCUAUUUUAUUGAACAUUUAUGUGUUUGCUGUUGUAUGAGGCACUUCCCUUGUUAACUUCCAUCCCUUGUUAACUUCCAUCCAGCAUAUUGACCAGAGGUUACAGUCAUCUUUCUAAAACUCCAUAUGAUCCUUUCACUCCCUCACCUGAUGUUUGUGGACUUGUUAGCACUGUGUCAUUUAUUCCUCCCACAGAUACUUGUUGUGCAUAAUCUCUGUGCUAAGAACUGGGGUUACCACAGUGAGAAAGAUAUCAGGUCUCUGCCUUCGUGGAGUUUACUAUUCUAGUUGGACAGACAGAAAAUAAACUUGUAAACAAAUAAAUGAAAAUAUUAACUAGUUUUGUGAAAAAUGCUCUGAAGGAAAUAGAGUGAUGGAGAGUCAGUGUUUGAGGGGUUACUUUAGAGAAGACACUCGGGGAAGACCUCACUGAAGAGUGACAUUUAAGCAGAAAUCAGAAGGCUGAGGAAAGCCAGUCCUACAAAUAGUAGCAGGAGUGCUUGGGGUUGAGGGCUAGUUCCAGGCAGUGGAAACAGCAAGUACAAAGACCCAGAGAUGGGGAAACCCCGGGCGUGUUAGAGUGACCGAGAUGGCGCCUAUAUGGCCCUAAUGAGGGCAGACUGCUCCCCAGAGAAGUUAGGCGUGCAGGUGGGCCCCAAGUCCCAUCUCCCCUCACUCUGUCAUCUUUUCACUCUGAUUCUUUCCUAAACUUGCCUGUGCAGAGUACUUCCUUUGUAAAGCCCCUCUCACUAUUGCAGUUCCCACUGCACUUCGCUUUUACCAUUAAUCAGAAUGUAAUAUGGACACUUGUUUUCAGGACAAUGUUCUCCAAUAGACCUUGAGCUUCUGUCAGAAGAUAUCUUAUUCACCUUUGGCAUCCCCAGCUUAUAGCGCAGUGCUUUACAUGGCGGGAACAUCAUAAAUGUUGAUUCAAUAAACGUAUUUUUUUUAGCAGUUCAUGCUUAGACCCUCCUUUCCAAUAACUUUAUAACUUCUCAUAGCUAAUAUUUUCGUGGUAUUUAAACCAUAAGUGUAAAGAAAACCAGCAACCUAGAGGAAUGUGUUUGCUUAAGACUUGUCUCCGAUGCUGAAAAGGAAAACCAGGAGAGGUAGUGCGGUGUGCUGUUCCUCUGCUGUGAGUUGAAUGGUGGUCCCCAAAAAUAUAUGUCCACAUCCUCACCCCUGGAAUCUGUGACCAUGACCUUGUUUGACAAAAGGGUCUUUGCAGAUUUAAUUAAGUUAAGCAUCUCAAGAUAAUACUAGAUUAUUUGUACAGACCCUAAAUCCAAUGACAAGUACCGUUAUAAGAGACAGAAAAGGUGAAGACAGACACAGGAGAAAGCCAUGGGAAGAUGGAGGCAGAGACUGGAGUUGUGAGUUAAAAGCCAGUGAAUGGUGCCUGGAGCUACCAGAAGCUGGAAGAGGCAGGGAAAGAUUCUCCCCUAGAGCACUCAUCCCCAAUCUUUUUGGUACCAGGGACUGGUUUCAUGGAAGACAAUUUUUCCACAGGGGGAUGCAGGGGGGUGGUUUCCGGAUGAAACUGUUCCACCUCAGAUCUUCAGGCAUUAGAUUCUCAUAAGGAGCCUGCAACCUAGAUGCUUCGCACGUGCAAUUCACAAUAGGGUUCGUGCUCCUGUGAGAACCUAAUGCCGCUGCCACUGAUAGGACAGGAGGCGAAGCUCAGGCGGUAAGGCUGGCUUGCCUGCUGCUCACCUCCUGCUGUGCAGCCCAGUUCCUAAAAGGCCAUGGACCAGUACCAGUCCAUGGCCCAGGGGUUGGGGACCCCUGCCCUAGAGCCUUUGGAGGGAGCACAGCCCUGCUGACACCUUUAUUUUGGAUUGCUGGCCUGUGAGAAAAUAAAUUUCUAUUUUGAGCUGCUAAUUAGGAAACUAAUAGAUACCCCAUCGCGCUUAUAUCUCACUUACCCAUUCUGUAACAUGGCUAUAGUAAUACCUUUCUCAGAAGCUUUGCGCCGGGAUUCAAUGAGAUAUGUUUGUACGGCACUUAGCACACAGUAAAUGUUCAAAAAUAGUGAUGGCUGUUCCUCUUCUUUAAGGACUGAGAGUUUUCAUCCUCUUGAAUAAGAACUCGACAACAGAGUGGGAACUUUCUGUCUUGUGAUCGAUUGCCUGGUGAGUCACAGCUCACACCAUGGAUUUAACCUGAGAGCUUCAACUUCUGCUUUGGCCCUGGAGUUCCCAUGCCCUGGUGUCUUCUACCAGUUCUUAGGUAGGGUUUUGUAUCCAGAGAGGGUUCAGCUUUCUCCCGUGGGCUGGGGGAAGAGGUCAAAGUCGAACUCAGGUACCAAAUUUGAAAGGAAACACUCAGAAAAAACUUCUGAGCGCAGAGCGGAAAACACCCUCUCAGUCCCCACCAAAGAGAAAAGCUUUGGGUUCUAAAUUUCCAGUUUCCAUUAAGGGACUCUGGGACUGGACAUUUCUGAAAAUUAAUGACCUGUACUGAGUAAUCCUCCCAACACACUGAUCAUCAAAAAAUAACCUGUAAUGAGUUUAGGCUUUCUGUAUUUGUCUGAAUGCUUUCACGGGAGUGUGUCACAGGAAGGCGGCACUGGAGCACAGAGGACACUUGAUCGUGCGGCGCGCAGGGCGGGGGGCCGCCGCUGCCUCCCCGCGGGAUGGCUGGCACUGUGCUCGGAGUCGGUGCGGGCGUGUUCAUCUUAGCCCUGCUCUGGGUGGCAGUGCUGCUGCUGUGUGUGCUGCUGUCCAGAGCCUCCGGGGCGGCGAGGUAAGGCAUUCUGUCCAACUGGGAGUCCUAGGUAAAGCAAUUAGAGGCAAAAUCGCUGAUGCUCACUAAACAUUUAGAAUUUAAGAGAUCAGUUUUGUAAUUACUGGCAGUUUGAAUGAGUUGCAUUUUAACCUCUUUUUAUAAACACUAACUGUGUUAUUUAUGCUCUGGAGCAGAGAUGGGAGGAGAAGGAAGUAGUGUUCUUGAGUUCUAACUGUGGCAAGAAAUUCUGCUUUCACUGCUUAUUGAGUUUCUCGAGGUUGUAUGUGUUUAUGAAUUGUUCAGAUUUAUGGCAGAGGCUUGGUCCAGUCCCCGAGGCUCUAGCCCUGGACCCAGGAAAACGAAAGCAACAUUUGAUGAGUUGGGCCUGCUUUCUAUAUCAGGCAUCGCCUUCAGAACAGGGUUAGGCCAUAAACCGACUCUGAAAACACUAGAGUUGCACUCUGGCAAGACAGUGUUAGUAUGAAGCAGAGUUGUAGAAUUUUCUAAAGUAUUCUGUUCUAAAAGCAAUGGAAGUGGAGGUGGAGAGGGGAUGCUUUGGUUUUUCUUGAUUAUGACUUUGGGCAGAAGUAAAAAUAAAAACUACACAUUUCCAUUCCUAGGAAUUGGGAAUUACCAAGAAUAAAUGGGAAUGCACCCAGCUGGUACCUGUCUAGGAAGAAGGACUUUGGGUUGAAGAGGUUGUUGACAGCAGGCCUCUGGACAUUGUUAAGGGACUGAAACAUAGAAUAUUGGCUCCAAGGAAGAGACUGUCCAGACCUAACUGAUCAAAGAAGAAAUUGUAGACAGUGCUUUUAAUAAUUUGUCUUUUCAACCCCAGGUUCUCUGUCAUUUUUUUAUUCUUCGGUGCUGUGAUCAUCACAUCAGUUCUGUUGCUUUUCCCGCGAGCUGGUGAAUUCCCAGCCCCAGAGGUGGAAGUUAAGAUUGUGGAUGACUUUUUCAUUGGCCGCUAUGUCCUGCUGGCUUUCCUUAGUGCCAUCUUCCUUGGAGGCCUCUUCUUGGUUUUAAUCCAUUAUGUUCUGGAGCCGAUCUAUGCCAAACCACUGCACUCCUACUGACCACUCUUCAGGAAAACGAAAACCUGUUCUCUCCUUCAUUGUGAUGACAUUGAUGAGCAGGAAGGCACUAUUCAGAGCCUUGUUUUGACAGCCCUCAUGCCUUAAGGUUAGAGGAGUAUCCGUCCAUCACUAAGACAAAUCUCUUGAGUCCUGGCUUCCAGAAACAGGAUUGCCAAAUUGUCCCUGUGGGGCUAGAUUCUUACCAGCUUAAGAAGGAUAUUGCUAUCUUCUUAGUACCCGUACCUUAGGAUUUCCAACUGUUUUGAAAGGGAAAUAGUAACAGUGAUCUGCUUAGAGUGGAUUUUCACUCAAGUCCUUAGUAAGUGGAUUUUGGGGGAAAAAGCACAAGGGCUUCUGGUUCUUUUUGAUAAUAUAUAAAAUUCUUCAUUAUGAGGUUGCAGUCGUUUGCAAAGGAGAGGCACUCAAAUUUGAAAGGUUAUUUUAAUGUGAUAAUUUGGAAGACUUACUCAGAUGUUGGUCAUUGACCACUCCGUGCAUAUAUUUCUGCAGAGCUCUAUGAAGGCAAUGAGUGUCACUUCCCUCUGCUCUAAUAAAGCAAUAAAUAAUAGCU
RNAcentral lists this small RNA (4567 nucleotides) under Pan troglodytes (chimpanzee). RNAcentral's name for it is "retained intron". Lineage: Eukaryota; Metazoa; Chordata; Mammalia; Primates; Hominidae. The record is from RNAcentral.